This 484-nucleotide ribosomal RNA is filed under the name uncultured bacterium. RNAcentral's name for it is "partial 16S ribosomal RNA". It matches the Rfam family "Bacterial small subunit ribosomal RNA", at positions 28 to 523 of the family's 1533-position model. The record is from RNAcentral.
GACGAACGCUGGCGGCGUGCUUAACACAUGCAAGUCGAACGAUGAACCCGGAGCUUGCUCCGGCGGAUUAGUGGCGAACGGGUGAGUAACACGUGAGUAACCUGCCCUUGACUCUGGGAUAACUGCUAGAAAUGGUAGCUAAUACCGGAUACGACCCUCGGUGGCAUCACCAGGGGGUGGAAAGAAUUUCGGUCAAGGAUGGACUCGCGGCCUAUCAGCUAGUUGGUGAGGUAACGGCUCACCAAGGCGACGACGGGUAGCCGGCCUGAGAGGGUGACCGGCCACACUGGGACUCAGACACGGCCAAGACUCCUACGGGAGGCAGCAGUGGGGAAUAUUGCACAAUGGGCGCAAGACUGAUGCAGCAACGCCGCGUGAGGGAUGACGGCCUUCGGGUUGUAAACCUCUUUUAGUAGGGAAGAAGCGAAAGUGACGGUACCUGCAGAAAAAGCACCGGCUAACUACGUGCCAGCCGCCGCCGUAA